UACGAAGGGGGCUAGCGUUGUUCGGAAUUACUGGGCGUAAAGCGCGUGUAGGCGGGUCUUUAAGUCAGGGGUGAAAUGCCAAGGCUCAACCUUGGAACUGCCUUUGAUACUGGAGAGCUAGAGUCCGGAAGAGGUGAGUGGAACUGCGAGUGUAGAGGUGAAAUUCGUAGAUAUUCGCAAGAACACCAGUGGCGAAGGCGGCUCACUGGCUCGUAACUGACGCUCAUGCACGACAGCGUGGGGAUCAAACAGG
Molecule: ribosomal RNA, 253 nt
Filed under: uncultured bacterium
Lineage: Bacteria
Description: partial 16S ribosomal RNA
Rfam family: Bacterial small subunit ribosomal RNA
Source: RNAcentral